CUUUAACAGAAGCUUCAUUGACCUCGAUCUCUGUUGCAGGAAGGAGUCUGGCAAGCCCAGCCCCCAUCUCCUCCCAUGGCUCUGUCCCCAGGAGCUUAGCAAAGCCCCACCCCUGAUGGGAGCCACGGAAGGAUCACAGUGUGGGAGCAGCCUGAGCAAGCAGUCCAGCACCAGCUGUGGCCUAUUUAUCACAUGCCUCCUGAACCCCUGAUCUGAGCUGCCGCUCCCUCUUUUCUGGAAAGCUAAGUCGCGGGAAUUAUUCCCCAAAUGUAUGCCAAGAGAGGAGGCCAUGUGAGAUGGGGGGCGAUGGAGGUGCUCAGUUUCCAAAGGGGAUAAGGUAAGGACUUCCUCCUCCUUCUGUCCCCACCUCCCCCCCCCAAGACCUCUCCCCACUUUCCCCUAUGGCCCCCACCCCCUCACUCCAGACUCAACCCAGAGAAAACACUUUGCUGUGUUCCAUUCAGCUAGACUAAUGGCAGAGUCCCAGGAACUCGCUCUGGGACCCAUGGGGUCUUUCCUCAGUACCUUCCCAGGGCUUGGGGGAGGGGAGGCUAGCCCUGCCCUGCUCCCACCUCCAUUUCCGGGGUGCUGCUGGGGAAAAUUGAUGUCCCUCUCAGGUUUAGGAACCGAUCCCACACUAAAAAGAAAGAAGAAAGAGAGAAAGAAAUGAUGUUAAUUUUUUUUAGGUCCAGAAAUGAAGCAGAAGUGAGUAAAUUUUAAUGAAACGGUGCAAAAAUGACAUCAUUUACUCAGAAAUCAUUAAUUUGUCAGCAUUAAUAUUUCAGCUACAACAUUGCCUGUCAUUUUGUGCCUGCAAUGACUGAUAAAUCUAUA
This is a long non-coding RNA of Felis catus (domestic cat), 834 nucleotides long. RefSeq lists it as uncharacterized. The transcript has 3 exons. The record is from RefSeq and is a predicted model, not a curated record. Lineage: Eukaryota; Metazoa; Chordata; Mammalia; Carnivora; Felidae.